RNAcentral lists this transfer RNA (76 nucleotides) under Holosporaceae bacterium. RNAcentral's name for it is "tRNA-Lys". It matches the Rfam family "tRNA". From Rfam's summary of the family: Transfer RNA (tRNA) molecules are approximately 80 nucleotides in length. The record is from RNAcentral. Lineage: Bacteria; Pseudomonadati; Pseudomonadota; Alphaproteobacteria; Holosporales; Holosporaceae.
GGGUAAUUAGCUCAGUUGGUAGAGCAUCUGACUUUUAAUCAGGUGGUCGCAGGUUCGAAUCCUGCAUUACCCACCA